AAUAGAUACCCCGGUAGUCCACGCCGUAAACGAUGGAUGCUAGCUGUUAGGAGUAUCGACCCUCCUAGUAGCGUAGCUAACGCGUUAAGCAUCCCGCCUGUGGAGUACGAGCGCAAGCUUAAAACAUAAAGGAAUUGACGGGGACCCGCACAAGCGGUGGAGCGUGUUGUUUAAUUCGAUGGUAAGCGAAGAACCUUACCCAGGCUUGACAUCCUGCCAAAGACUCCGAAAGGAGACUGUGCCUUCGGGCCGCAGUGACAGGUGAUGCAUGGCCGUCGUCAGCUCGUGUCGUGAGAUGUUUGGUUAAGUCCAUCAACGAGCGCAACCCCUAUGACUAGUUGUAUUUCUCUAGUCAGACUGCCCUGGCAACAGGGAGGAAGGAGGGGAUGAUGUCAGGUCAGUAUCUCCCUUACGCCUGGGGCUACAAACACGCUACAAUGGCCGGUACAAAGGGCAGCCAACCGCGAGGGGAGCAAAUCCCAUCAAAGCCGGUCUCAGUUCGGAUUGCAGGCUGAAACUCG
Molecule: ribosomal RNA, 521 nt
Filed under: uncultured bacterium
Lineage: Bacteria
Description: bacterial SSU rRNA
Rfam family: Bacterial small subunit ribosomal RNA
Source: RNAcentral